GGGCGUGGUAGCGUACGCUCGUAGUCCCAGCUACUGGGAAGGCUGAGGUGGGAGGAUCACUUGAGCCCAGGAGGUCGAGGCUGCAGUGCGCUGUGAUCACGCCACUGCACUCCAGCCUGAGCAACAGAGUGAGAUCCUAUCUCAA
Gorilla gorilla gorilla (western lowland gorilla) is the source of this 145-nucleotide non-coding RNA. It matches the Rfam family "Metazoan signal recognition particle RNA". From Rfam's summary of the family: The signal recognition particle (SRP) is a universally conserved ribonucleoprotein. It is involved in the co-translational targeting of proteins to membranes. The eukaryotic SRP consists of a 300-nucleotide 7S RNA and six proteins: SRPs 72, 68, 54, 19, 14, and 9. NCBI's taxonomy places the organism in Eukaryota, Metazoa, Chordata, Mammalia, Primates, Hominidae. The record is from Rfam.